Molecule: ribosomal RNA, 432 nt
Filed under: uncultured bacterium
Lineage: Bacteria
Description: partial 16S ribosomal RNA
Rfam family: Bacterial small subunit ribosomal RNA
Source: RNAcentral
AACGAACGCUGGCGGCAUGCCUAACACAUGCAAGUCGAACGAGACCUUCGGGUCUAGUGGCGCACGGGUGCGUAACGCGUGGGAACCUGCCCUUAGGUUCGGAAUAACUCCCCGAAAGGGGUGCUAAUACCGGAUAAUGUCUUCGGACCAAAGAUUUAUCGCCUUUGGAUGGGCCCGCGUUGGAUUAGCUAGUUGGUAGGGUAAAAGCCUACCAAGGCGACGAUCCAUAGCUGGUCUGAGAGGAUGAUCAGCCACACUGGGACUGAGACACGGCCCAGACUCCUACGGGAGGCAGCAGUGGGGAAUAUUGGACAAUGGGCGAAAGCCUGAUCCAGCAAGGCCGCGUGAGUGAUGAAGGCCUUAGGGUUGUAAAGCUCUUUUACCCGGGAUGAUAAUGACAGAACCGGGAGAAUAAGCUCCGGCUAACUCCGU